RNAcentral lists this ribosomal RNA (493 nucleotides) under uncultured bacterium. Its description in RNAcentral is "partial 16S ribosomal RNA". It matches the Rfam family "Bacterial small subunit ribosomal RNA", at positions 28 to 506 of the family's 1533-position model. The record is from RNAcentral.
GACGAACGCUGGCGGCGCGCUUAACACAUGCAAGUCGAACGGAAAGGCCUGCUUUCCCUUGUGGAUUGCGGGUACUCGAGUGGCGAACGGGUGAGUAACACGUGAGUGAUCUGCCCCCAACUUGGGUAUAAGCCUGGGAAACUGGGUCUAAUUCCCGAUAGGACUGCAGGGUGGUGCCUGUGGUGGAAAACGAUUUUCUAGUGGUUGGGGAUGAGCUCGCGGCCUAUCAGCUUGUUGGUGGGGUAAUGGCCUACCAAGGCGGCGACGGGUAGCCGGCCUGAGAGGGUGGACGGCCACAUUGGGACUGAGAUACGGCCCAGACUCCUACGGGAGGCAGCAGUGGGGAAUAUUGCACAAUGGGCGGAAGCCUGAUGCAGCGACGCCGCGUGGGGGAUGACGGCCUUCGGGUUGUAAACUCCUUUCGACCGCGAGGAAGCCACCUGGUUGGAAGGGUGGUGACGGUAGUGGUAGAAGAAGCACCGGCUAACUACGU